Molecule: transfer RNA, 69 nt
Filed under: Margattea spinosa
Lineage: Eukaryota; Metazoa; Arthropoda; Insecta; Blattodea; Pseudophyllodromiidae
Description: tRNA-Ser
Rfam family: tRNA
About the family: Transfer RNA (tRNA) molecules are approximately 80 nucleotides in length. Their secondary structure includes four short double-helical elements and three loops (D, anti-codon, and T loops). Further hydrogen bonds mediate the characteristic L-shaped molecular structure. tRNAs have two regions of fundamental functional importance: the anti-codon, which is responsible for specific mRNA codon recognition, and the 3' end, to which the tRNAs corresponding amino acid is attached (by aminoacyl-tRNA synthetases). tRNAs cope with the degeneracy of the genetic code in two manners: having more than one tRNA (with a specific anti-codon) for a particular amino acid; and 'wobble' base-pairing, i.e. permitting non-standard base-pairing at the 3rd anti-codon position.
Source: RNAcentral
AGCUAAAUAUUUUAGAAAAACUUAUAUUUUGAAAAUAUAAAUUCAGGAGUUAAAAUCUCCUAUUAGCUU